UUCGCAAGAAUGAAACUCAAAGGAAUUGACGGGGGCCCGCACAAGCGGUGGAGCAUGUGGUUUAAUUCGAUGAUACGCGAGGAACCUUACCAGGGCUUAAAUGCUAAUGACAGGUCUAGAGAUAGACUUUUCUUCGGACAUUUUGCAAGGUGCUGCAUGGUUGUCGUCAGCUCGUGCCGUGAGGUGUCAGGUUAAGUCCUAUAACGAGCGCAACCCCUGCCGUCAGUUGCCAGCAAGUAAAUUGGGGACUCUGACGGGACUGCCGGUGCAAACCGGAGGAAGGUGGGGACGACGUCAAAUCAUCACGGCCCUUACGUCCUGGGCUACACACGUGCUACAAUGGCCGGUACAGCGAGCAGCCACUCCGCAAGGAGGAGCGAAUCUAUAAAACCGGUCACAGUUCGGAUCGGGGUCUGCAACUCGACCCCGUGAAGCUGGAAUCGCUAGUAAUCGGAUAUCAGCAUGAUCCGGUGAAUACGUUCCCGGGCCUUGUACACACCGCCC
This 504-nucleotide ribosomal RNA is filed under the name uncultured bacterium. RNAcentral's name for it is "bacterial SSU rRNA". It matches the Rfam family "Bacterial small subunit ribosomal RNA", at positions 885 to 1395 of the family's 1533-position model. The record is from RNAcentral.